GUGACGGCCACGGCGAAGGGCUAUGCGUCAGCGCCAUAGCAUACGCCGGCGUUUGACGCAGAAGUAUAAAUCAGCCUUAAGUCAAGAACCAAAUGAAGCACCAGAGUACAGAUUAUGGAGGUAUCUGAAGUUGAACUAACUGGAAGCAGGGAACCAUACUAAUAAAGUUCCUUAAGCAGGUUCCUUGUAAAGAUUAACCCAGGGAAGGAUCGAAAGUGGAGAAGACCAGAUCAAGAAAGACUACAUCAAGAUCUGCGGUCAGUUCAAAGGAUGUUUUGCAUUGGACUGUUUUUUUUUUGGCUUUGACCCUUGCUUGCCCCUGACCUCACUCUUGGACUGCCCUGUUGGAUUUUCAGUUUAUUUAAUUUAAAAAAAAAAUUUUGGUUCUGGGUAGAUGCUAAUAAAUAUUUAAUUGUAAUUAUUUAAUGUAAAUCAAAGGCGGCAACACCAAGGCUCCAAAAAUACAAAUUUAUUAAAUUAAAAAGGCUGACACAGAGCGUGUAACGUUUCGAGCCGCCGGCUCUUCAUCAGACAAAUUCUUUUUCAUUGUAAUUUUUUAAAUAAUAUGUUUUUGUUAAAUAUGUGAUUUCUGUGUUUGUUCUGUCUACUUGUACUUGUUUAUCUUGUUUCUGUUUAUCAUUUGUUUAUUUGACCCUUGCCUCGCCUCUGAUCUUGUUUUUGGAUUGCCCUUUAUAUAUCUUUUUUAAUUAUUGGUUCUAGUUAUAUGGUUAUAAAAUAUUUGUUAAUUUAAUUAAUAUGCAUUUUAUAAAAAAAAAAAAAAAAUAUAUAUAUAUAUAUAUAUAUAUUUUUUUUUUUUUCCGGUUUUUUUCUGGAUCUAUUUAUCUAAUUUGGAUAUACAUUUGUGUUUGUAUGUUCUUCUUAUUCUGUAUAUCCACUUACCUAAUUUUAACUUUUAUAUAUAUUUAUUUGCAUUUAAUUUGUGAUAAUUCUGUAUGCAUUUCUUUAUCUUAUUCAUAUAUUUAUAUGUAUUGCAUUGAUCAAUCUGUUGUUGUUUUUUUUGUAUGCAUCUAUUUAUAUAAUUUAUAUAAAUUAUAUAUUUGUAUUUAUCAAUUUAUAUGCUUCCUUUGAAGCAAUUUUUUUAAAAUAAAGCAAUUUAAACUAA
RNAcentral lists this long non-coding RNA (1123 nucleotides) under Danio rerio (zebrafish). RNAcentral's name for it is "lncRNA si:dkey-118j18.3 (ENSDARG00000096455.3)". Lineage: Eukaryota; Metazoa; Chordata; Actinopteri; Cypriniformes; Danionidae. The record is from RNAcentral.